GGAGUCUGGACCGUAUCUCAGUUCCAAUGUGGCCGAUCACCCUCUCAGGUCGGCUACCGAUCGUCGCCUUGGUGGGCUGUUAUCUCACCAACUAGCUAAUCGGACGCGAGCCCAUCUUUAACCGGAUUGCUCCUUUGACCCCUUCGCCAUGUAGCGUUGUGGUCUUAUGCGGUAUUAGCACAUCUUUCGAUGCGUUAUCCCCCUGUUAAAGGCAGGUUGCUCACGCGUUACUCACCCGUCCGCCGCUGAAACAUCCAAAAAGCAAGCUUUCCAAAUGUCUCCGCUCGACUUGCAUGUGUUAGGCACGCCGCCAGCGUUCGUCCUGAGCCACUGAUCAAACUCU
Molecule: ribosomal RNA, 343 nt
Filed under: uncultured Eubacteriales bacterium
Lineage: Bacteria; Bacillati; Bacillota; Clostridia; Eubacteriales
Description: uncultured Clostridiales bacterium partial 16S ribosomal RNA
Source: RNAcentral